UCGGUCGAGUGGUUACUCUGAUCUGUUUUAGACAUUAGGUCAGGAAACGGGUCGGGGAGGAAAGUCCGGGCACUGCAGAACAGGAUGCCUCCUAACGGGAGGAGGCUCGCUAUGGCGAGUUAUGGAAAGUGCAGCAGAGAAUAGACUGCCCUGAUAUUUUUUAAUGUCGGGGUAAAGGUGAAACGGUGGUGUAAGAGACCACCAGUUCCCGGUGAAAACCGGGAAGCUUGGUAAACCCCAUCCAGUGCAAGACCGAAUAGGCUCUAAAGAUGUUGUUCGCAUCGUUAAUAAGGAGCGGGUAGGUUGCUAGAAUCCGACAGUGAUGCCGGAUCCAGAGGAAUGACCACUGAUUCCCUUAUCCGCCGGCUGGCGGAUCGGGAGGAACAGAACUCGGCUUAUAGACCGGCUC
Molecule: RNase P RNA, 409 nt
Filed under: marine eukaryotic metagenome
Description: Bacterial RNase P class A
Rfam family: Bacterial RNase P class A
About the family: Ribonuclease P (RNase P) is a ubiquitous endoribonuclease, found in archaea, bacteria and eukarya as well as chloroplasts and mitochondria. Its best characterised activity is the generation of mature 5'-ends of tRNAs by cleaving the 5'-leader elements of precursor-tRNAs.
Source: RNAcentral